UCUCCGUUGGUGAACCAGCGGAGGGAUCAUUACAGGACUCGCAAGACUCCUACAACCCUGUGAACUUAACUACAAGCACGUUGCUUCGGCGGGUGUCUCGGCGCGGGUUCUCCCGCUCCGGGGCGCUAAGCCCGCCGGCAGCCUACUAUACUCUGUCUCUUUGCGUUGGCAUCUCGAGUACAAACAAACAAGUUAAAACUUUCAACAACGGAUCUCUUGGUUCUGGCAUCGAUGAAGAACGCAGC
This 245-nucleotide unclassified non-coding RNA is filed under the name uncultured fungus. Its description in RNAcentral is "sequence contains ITS1, 5.8S rRNA gene". The stretch from base 197 to 245 matches the Rfam family "5.8S ribosomal RNA", at positions 1 to 49 of the family's 154-position model. The record is from RNAcentral. Lineage: Eukaryota; Fungi.